This 31-nucleotide small RNA is filed under the name Bombyx mori (domestic silkworm). RNAcentral's name for it is "ovarian small RNA-14236". Lineage: Eukaryota; Metazoa; Arthropoda; Insecta; Lepidoptera; Bombycidae. The record is from RNAcentral.
CGAGGCGACAGACAUCGACGCCGAUGACGGC